Molecule: unclassified non-coding RNA, 232 nt
Filed under: Hevea brasiliensis (rubber tree)
Lineage: Eukaryota; Viridiplantae; Streptophyta; Magnoliopsida; Malpighiales; Euphorbiaceae
Source: RNAcentral
GUUCAAUAAUCUGAGCCUCAAAUUGAUGAAGGAUGGCUCAUUACAGAUGAACAACGGGGGGUAGAUGACUCAACAAGAGAGGAUCAUGACUUACAAAAGGGCGGGCUAAAAGUACACUUUUUGUCUUUCAUUUUUCUUUCUUUUUUCCAGAUUUUUUCUUAUUCCUUUUUCUUAAAAAAAAUAUUUUUAAUCCUUUUGCAAAAUCUUUUUUGGUAACUAGGAUUUGGGGCCU